AGAACUGAUAAUCCAAAAAGUGGAAUGAAGGGGUAACGCCCUGAAACGCUUUCCCUGAUACUCCGGCUGGCAUUUUCAGGAAACCGAUUAUGUCAGAAGCCCGGCGAAGUCGGCAGAGAGCAGCCCAAACGGAUAAAGCCGUGGAAAGUGUCCCAGAGGUGGGAUAUGCUGCCUAUAUGCCGGGGGUCUAUAAA
This 194-nucleotide non-coding RNA is filed under the name bovine gut metagenome. The record is from RNAcentral.